This 2735-nucleotide ribosomal RNA is filed under the name Escherichia coli. Its description in RNAcentral is "bacterial LSU rRNA". It matches the Rfam family "Bacterial large subunit ribosomal RNA". The record is from RNAcentral. Lineage: Bacteria; Pseudomonadati; Pseudomonadota; Gammaproteobacteria; Enterobacterales; Enterobacteriaceae.
UCCAUAGGUUAAUGAGGCGAACCGGGGAACUGAACAUCUAAGUACCCCGAGGAAAAGAAAUCAACCGAGAUUCCCCCAGUAGCGGCGAGCGAACGGGGAGCAGCCCAGAGCCUGAAUCAGUGUGUGUGUUAGUGGAAGCGUCUGGAAAGGCGUGCGAUACAGGGUGACAGCCCCGUACACAAAAAUGCACAUGCUGUGAGCUCGAUGAGUAGGGCGGGACACGUGGUAUCCUGUCUGAAUAUGGGGGACCAUCCUCCAAGGCUAAAUACUCCUGACUGACCGAUAGUGAACCAGUACCGUGAGGGAAAGGCGAAAAGAACCCCGGCGAGGGGAGUGAAAAAGAACCUGAAACCGUGUACGUACAAGCAGUGGGAGCACGCUUAGGCGUGUGACUGCGUACCUUUUGUAUAAUGGGUCAGCGACUUAUAUUCUGUAGCAAGGUUAACCGAAUAGGGGAGCCGAAGGGAAACCGAGUCUUAACUGGGCGUUAAGUUGCAGGGUAUAGACCCGAAACCCGGUGAUCUAGCCAUGGGCAGGUUGAAGGUUGGGUAACACUAACUGGAGGACCGAACCGACUAAUGUUGAAAAAUUAGCGGAUGACUUGUGGCUGGGGUGAAAGGCCAAUCAAACCGGGAGAUAGCUGGUUCUCCCCGAAAGCUAUUUAGGUAGCGCCUCGUGAAUUCAUCUCCGGGGUAGAGCACUGUUUCGGCAAGGGGGUCAUCCCGACUUACCAACCCGAUGCAAACUGCGAAUACCGGAGAAUGUUAUCACGGGAGACACACGGCGGGUGCUAACGUCCGUCGUGAAGAGGGAAACAACCCAGACCGCCAGCUAAGGUCCCAAAGUCAUGGUUAAGUGGGAAACGAUGUGGGAAGGCCCAGACAGCCAGGAUGUUGGCUUAGAAGCAGCCAUCAUUUAAAGAAAGCGUAAUAGCUCACUGGUCGAGUCGGCCUGCGCGGAAGAUGUAACGGGGCUAAACCAUGCACCGAAGCUGCGGCAGCGACGCUGAUGCGUUGUUGGGUAGGGGAGCGUUCUGUAAGCCUGCGAAGGUGUGCUGUGAGGCAUGCUGGAGGUAUCAGAAGUGCGAAUGCUGACAUAAGUAACGAUAAAGCGGGUGAAAAGCCCGCUCGCCGGAAGACCAAGGGUUCCUGUCCAACGUUAAUCGGGGCAGGGUGAGUCGACCCCUAAGGCGAGGCCGAAAGGCGUAGUCGAUGGGAAACAGGUUAAUAUUCCUGUACUUGGUGUUACUGCGAAGGGGGGACGGAGAAGGCUAUGUUGGCCGGGCGACGGUUGUCCCGGUUUAAGCGUGUAGGCUGGUUUUCCAGGCAAAUCCGGAAAAUCAAGGCUGAGGCGUGAUGACGAGGCACUACGGUGCUGAAGCAACAAAUGCCCUGCUUCCAGGAAAAGCCUCUAAGCAUCAGGUAACAUCAAAUCGUACCCCAAACCGACACAGGUGGUCAGGUAGAGAAUACCAAGGCGCUUGAGAGAACUCGGGUGAAGGAACUAGGCAAAAUGGUGCCGUAACUUCGGGAGAAGGCACGCUGAUAUGUAGGUGAAGUCCCUCGCGGAUGGAGCUGAAAUCAGUCGAAGAUACCAGCUGGCUGCAACUGUUUAUUAAAAACACAGCACUGUGCAAACACGAAAGUGGACGUAUACGGUGUGACGCCUGCCCGGUGCCGGAAGGUUAAUUGAUGGGGUCAGCGCAAGCGAAGCUCUUGAUCGAAGCCCCGGUAAACGGCGGCCGUAACUAUAACGGUCCUAAGGUAGCGAAAUUCCUUGUCGGGUAAGUUCCGACCUGCACGAAUGGCGUAAUGAUGGCCAGGCUGUCUCCACCCGAGACUCAGUGAAAUUGAACUCGCUGUGAAGAUGCAGUGUACCCGCGGCAAGACGGAAAGACCCCGUGAACCUUUACUAUAGCUUGACACUGAACAUUGAGCCUUGAUGUGUAGGAUAGGUGGGAGGCUUUGAAGUGUGGACGCCAGUCUGCAUGGAGCCGACCUUGAAAUACCACCCUUUAAUGUUUGAUGUUCUAACGUGGACCCGUGAUCCGGGUUGCGGACAGUGUCUGGUGGGUAGUUUGACUGGGGCGGUCUCCUCCUAAAGAGUAACGGAGGAGCACGAAGGUUGGCUAAUCCUGGUCGGACAUCAGGAGGUUAGUGCAAUGGCAUAAGCCAGCUUGACUGCGAGCGUGACGGCGCGAGCAGGUGCGAAAGCAGGUCAUAGUGAUCCGGUGGUUCUGAAUGGAAGGGCCAUCGCUCAACGGAUAAAAGGUACUCCGGGGAUAACAGGCUGAUACCGCCCAAGAGUUCAUAUCGACGGCGGUGUUUGGCACCUCGAUGUCGGCUCAUCACAUCCUGGGGCUGAAGUAGGUCCCAAGGGUAUGGCUGUUCGCCAUUUAAAGUGGUACGCGAGCUGGGUUUAGAACGUCGUGAGACAGUUCGGUCCCUAUCUGCCGUGGGCGCUGGAGAACUGAGGGGGCUGCUCCUAGUACGAGAGGACCGGAGUGGACGCAUCACUGGUGUUCGGGUUGUCAUGCCAAUGGCACUGCCCGGUAGCUAAAUGCGGAAGAGAUAAGUGCUGAAAGCAUCUAAGCACGAAACUUGCCCCGAGAUGAGUUCUCCCUGACUCCUUGAGAGUCCUGAAGGAACGUUGAAGACGACGACGUUGAUAGGCCGGGUGUGUAAGCGCAGCGAUGCGUUGAGCUAACCGGUACUAAUGAACCGUGAGGCUUAACC